UCUACUGCCCUUAUUGUGGUUAUCCGCACACAUUUUUCCUGUGCAAUGAAGGAUUUUCUCCAAUAUUUUGGGGAAGCCUACACCAAGUUUCAUUUUAAUCUCCAAAUAAUUGAUAACUGUAGAUCAUCUGGCAACCUGUCUGAUCGUCUGACCUCUCGCCCUUUAGGAAUGCCAGAUCUCAGCAAUUACUCUGGGAUCAGGAGCUUUUCACUGGCCUCAGUCCAGUCUGAGCUUCUUUCAUUCAGUAUCAACACUUCAAGUGAAACAAGACUCACCCGUCCGUGAUAUUUGCACACUUGCAUACUAGAGUUUCAACGACUUUGGGAACUGGCAGAAGCCUCUUUUCUUUAGGCACCUGGAAGGAAGAAAAGGUGGACAUGAGUAUUGUUUUUUUUCUCUGAAGGACAAAACAGACAACGGCUCUGCUGAAUCAUUAUAGCUGUAAAGACUUAUUUGAAGCAUUCCUCAAGGUUUUCUGUUGGACAUGCAAGAAACAUCCAAAUAUGUUAAGCAUCCAAACUUUUACAGCUCUUACUUAAAAGUCCAGGAAAUCUCAGAACACGCUUUCCUUAAAGUAAAAAUGAAGCUGUAGAAAAUGUCUUUGAAAACCCCAUUUCCCUUUUAGUCUGACCACCACUCCAACACCCGAAACAUAUUCAGUUUAUUAUCACAUUCAAGACAAAGAAAAGCAACGAAUUC
Long non-coding RNA from Sebastes umbrosus (honeycomb rockfish), 699 nucleotides. RefSeq lists it as uncharacterized. The record is from RefSeq and is a predicted model, not a curated record. NCBI's taxonomy places the organism in Eukaryota, Metazoa, Chordata, Actinopteri, Perciformes, Sebastidae. The transcript is spliced from 4 exons.